GGCUCUGGGAGAGCUGAUGAGAUUACUCGAGACCUAAAAAACUCCAGUGCUAAAAUGAGAGUUACUGCAGUUGUAGAAAUAGCAAUAGCAAUGAGAGAACUUGCCAUACCUUGACCUAUUCUUUUAUCUGAAUGCAAGCCCUCACAUAGUGAUUGGAUAUUAACAGUUUGGUAUGUCUGCAUUUGCUUUCUUUUCAUGCUCUGCUUUCCAGAUUAGGUCUGAGAGCUAAGGACAGGUUCUAGAAGAAGACUCUUCAUUGCUCUGGGUACUACAUUCCUGCCUUUGGGAAAAUAAUUGAGUGUUUUCCAUUGUAAAUUGUGCAAUAAGGACUGACCUGGUCUCAAGUAUCUAUAAUCCUGAAAAUUUGGUGAUGUUGCCACCUCUCUUAGUUGAUCUCACCAAAACCUCAUGUCUCCCAGCAGAAUAUGGAGAUCAUUUUGCAUGACAGUUAACAUUAUGAAAUAAUUUUGUAUAUGAAAAAGCAGUUUCCUAUGACUUCUACUGUAAUGGAAAGCACUUGUGAUUCAUGCCAAUACUGAGGUGGAAUACGAGAACAACAGACUAAAGCCAUCCUCCAGCCCCUUGUGUAACCCAGGACAUAUUUUCCAUGUCUGGAUGAAGCAGUCCUCUAUAACGCUGUACAUUCACCACAUUUAAUAUUUUAAGUAAUGGCCAUUCUCUGCUCUGAAUGAGAGGCAGGGUGCCCAGAGGAAAAUGAGCAUGUAGUCACUUCUUUUGGAGUCAUAUCCUACUACAUGGGUACAACAAGGCCAAAGGCAGAUAUAUUUCACAACCUGUGUCUGGUAUGUCCCUUCUCUUUGGUGCUUGACUAUGCAAUCUUACUGUUCUUUUAACAGUAGUCUAAUUUCUUCACUUUCCCUUUUUAAAUAAUGCAAAGCUGAAAAUGGCCAAGUCAUUGUCAUGAGAAUAGUCUCUCCUGACUAUCUCGGGAGGGAUAAAAGCUCCAGGUCUCUGGCAGCGGGUGAAUUGAUGCAAUCGAUGGCAAUAGCGAACUGUUUGAGCCAUCCCCUGAAAGGACUACCAUGCUGGUUUUAUCAGGGGUUUCACAGGUAUUUGCUGAUAGCAGACUGUUGAGCCUCAGGUCUCAGGUACUGUGCUGGGAAAAGUGUCUUACAGACUAGCACUCCCCUUUCAUCCUUCCUCCCUAUUUAUCUAUGGCACCUUUGCUGCUGUCUCCUGCCACUUGUCUUCUUCCUCUUCUGCUUCUGCCUCUCAUUAGCCAGAAGCGAUAGAGCCGGCAGCUGGAGUCAUGGGAAGGACUUCUUUAUCCAGUGUGCUCUCACAUGCUGGGGCUUUAAAGUUGCAGAGCUGGCAGUCAGAGCAGUUUGCAUUGCUGAGCCUUCCAGUCCCCAUCUGAACUAGUUCCUCUUGGGCCCAUGUGGGAACACCAAGUUGAUUUGUUCACCUCAAACCUCAUUCUUGGAGCCAAGAGAAUUACUUUUGCUAGAAGCUUCUCCUAGAAAAUCAACCAGAGCCAGACAUCCAGCAUGAUUUCCUUCAGUGCUUAGAGAUUAUUAAAAAGCAAUUUAAGCAGCUGCAAAUCAGAUCUUCUGUCAUCUGCAACAAA
This is a long non-coding RNA of Gallus gallus (chicken), 1588 nucleotides long. The record is from Ensembl. NCBI's taxonomy places the organism in Eukaryota, Metazoa, Chordata, Aves, Galliformes, Phasianidae.